This 420-nucleotide ribosomal RNA is filed under the name uncultured bacterium. RNAcentral's name for it is "bacterial SSU rRNA". It matches the Rfam family "Bacterial small subunit ribosomal RNA", at positions 356 to 773 of the family's 1533-position model. The record is from RNAcentral.
GAGGAAUAUUGGUCAAUGGACGCGAGUCUGAACCAGCCAAGUAGCGUGAAGGAUGACUGCCCUAUGGGUUGUAAACUUCUUUUAUAUGGGAAUAAAGUUUUCCACGUGUGGAAUUUUGUAUGUACCAUAUGAAUAAGGAUCGGCUAACUCCGUGCCAGCAGCCGCGGUAAUACGGAGGAUCCGAGCGUUAUCCGGAUUUAUUGGGUUUAAAGGGAGCGUAGGUGGACAGUUAAGUCAGUUGUGAAAGUUUGCGGCUCAACCGUAAAAUUGCAGUUGAUACUGGCUGUCUUGAGUACAGUAGAGGUGGGCGGAAUUCGUGGUGUAGCGGUGAAAUGCUUAGAUAUCACGAAGAACUCCGAUUGCGAAGGCAGCUCACUGGACUGCAACUGACACUGAUGCUCGAAAGUGUGGGUAUCAAAC